RNAcentral lists this non-coding RNA (214 nucleotides) under Herbivorax alkaliphila. RNAcentral's name for it is "6S RNA". It matches the Rfam family "6S / SsrS RNA". Rfam says of the family: E. coli 6S RNA was the first non coding RNA to be sequenced, but its function was unknown until recently. It consists of 184 nucleotides that fold into an extended hairpin structure with a large single-stranded internal bulge. Lineage: Bacteria; Bacillati; Bacillota; Clostridia; Acetivibrionales; Acetivibrionaceae. The record is from RNAcentral.
UUUAGCCUGAAAUGUUCGAAGUAGACUAUUAUUUUGAACCUACAUUUGACGUAAGGGAGUCUGGAGUUUAAAAGUGUAUGUCAGGCCCUAAGAUAAUACCGACUUAUGCCAUGAGGCAUGAGCAACGGCAAGGGAAGGCAGAAACUUUUAACAGGACACCCACCUGGUUUAGGCUAGGUGUCGAAAAAUAGGGAAACGGCAUUUUGGGUAUUAA